RNAcentral lists this ribosomal RNA (451 nucleotides) under uncultured bacterium. RNAcentral describes it as "partial 16S ribosomal RNA". It matches the Rfam family "Bacterial small subunit ribosomal RNA", at positions 354 to 796 of the family's 1533-position model. The record is from RNAcentral.
GUGGGGAAUAUUGGACAAUGGGCGCAAGCCUGAUCCAGCCAUGCCGCGUGUGUGAAGAAGGCCUUUUGGUUGUAAAGCACUUUAAGCGAGGAGGAGGCUACUUGGAUUAAUACUCUAGGAUAGUGGACGUUACUCGCAGAAUAAGCACCGGCUAACUCUGUGCCAGCAGCCGCGGUAAUACAGAGGGUGCGAGCGUUAAUCGGAUUUACUGGGCGUAAAGCGUGCGUAGGCGGCUUUUUAAGUCGGAUGUGAAAUCCCUGAGCUUAACUUAGGAAUUGCAUUCGAUACUGGGAAGCUAGAGUAUGGGAGAGGAUGGUAGAAUUCCAGGUGUAGCGGUGAAAUGCGUAGAGAUCUGGAGGAAUACCGAUGGCGAAGGCAGCCAUCUGGCCUAAUACUGACGCUGAGGUACGAAAGCAUGGGGAGCAAACAGGAUUAGAUACCCGUGUAGUCC